RNAcentral lists this ribosomal RNA (490 nucleotides) under uncultured bacterium. RNAcentral's name for it is "partial 16S ribosomal RNA". It matches the Rfam family "Bacterial small subunit ribosomal RNA", at positions 29 to 505 of the family's 1533-position model. The record is from RNAcentral.
AGUGAACGCUGGCGGUAGGCCUAACACAUGCAAGUCGAACGGCAGCACAGUAAGAGCUUGCUCUUACGGGUGGCGAGUGGCGGACGGGUGAGGAAUACAUCGGAAUCUACUUUUUCGUGGGGGAUAACGUAGGGAAACUUACGCUAAUACCGCAUACGACCUACGGGUGAAAGCAGGGGAUCUUCGGACCUUGCGCGAUUGAAUGAGCCGAUGUCGGAUUAGCUAGUUGGCGGGGUAAAGGCCCACCAAGGCGACGAUCCGUAGCUGGUCUGAGAGGAUGAUCAGCCACACUGGAACUGAGACACGGUCCAGACUCCUGGGGGAGGCAGCAGUGGAGAAUAUUGGACAAGGGGCGAAAGCCUGACACAGCCAUACCGCGUGGGUGAAGAAGGCCUUGGGGUUGUAAAGCCCUUUUGUUGGGAAAAAAAAGCAGCAGGUUAAUACCCCGCUGUUCUGGCGGUACCCAAAGAAUAAGCACCGGCAAACUUCG